UUUCUGUUUGAACCUCCAGUGAGCUGGUAUUUGUGACAUCACAAUCCUGUGUUUGCCACAUCAGUCAGUUGCCAUGGACACAGAUAUGAUGUGUCUAGAUUUAUGACUUCCCUGCAGGAUCAACUAAGAGCAGAUGGGCUAUGAGGGAGAGAGAUUUUAUUGCAACAAAAAUACCCUAACAAUUAGCAAAUCCGGCAAGUAACAAACAGAAAACUACAUGACACACACCUCUCUGCUACAACCACUUUUUUCCCUUUAAAACUGCUGCCCGUUGGCAUUGGCAAGGUACCACAGCAGAGCAAAGCACCAGGCCCAGCGCUUCCUGCAUGUGCAGAAAAACAACAUUCUAACAGCAUCUCUGCUCCUAAUCUGAUGAGGACAAUCUGCUUACCACCACCUUUCCUAAGGGACUCGGCAAAGUUUCAAUUUUGCUAACUCUCUCCCAUUGUGGCCUAGAGUAGGGACAUGCCAUCCAGUCUAAUCUUGACGAAUUUACUAAUGUUUGUAAAGAGCUUGGCGGAUGAAAAGCGGAGCUUGCAUAUAAAUAUCCGGUAUUAUUUUAUUAGUCUCACCUGGGGCACCAGAAACUCUAACACCAGCAUCAUACCAUGUGACAUAGCACAAGACAUCGAGUGUGAGUGUAUUUAACACAGAAAAGGGCUACUGCGAGCUACUGACUACGGGAGCUACACCAGUAACGGGAAUCAAAUCUGACUAAGAGUAUACAGCUGAGUAAGACGUGCUGCCGCGGGAUGGGGACUGCAGAACAAUGCACUAGCUUUUGUCUUUGGAGAUAGGUUCAAACCCUAUCCUACUAUGGCUAAGGUAACAAGCGAAAAUACAUUUGGUGGUUUCACCCAGCUCUUGACAUCACAAAGCCUUGCAAUGAGUGGCAGAGAAGACAGUGGUAAUUAUGGGCAACUGUGGGAUCCAAAUUCUAUACCCAAUAAAGCACCACCACAGUUGAAGGUGGGCAACACAGUCCCAAACCAACUAGGACUGGCCAGAGAAGCAGGAACUAUACUAUUAACAAACUGAUAUAUAAGGAGUUAA
This is a long non-coding RNA of Mauremys reevesii (Reeves's turtle), 1053 nucleotides long. RefSeq lists it as uncharacterized. The transcript has 3 exons. NCBI's taxonomy places the organism in Eukaryota, Metazoa, Chordata, Testudines, Geoemydidae. The record is from RefSeq and is a predicted model, not a curated record.